GCAGGCUCCAUUCAUUUUUCUCUUUUUCCCCUCCUCCCCCCCUUGGCUCUUCAGCUUUGGGCAAAGGUAGGGAGCUAUGGAACUAAAGGGCGACAUGCUUUUCUGAAAGCAAGAGGAGGAGGAAAAAAAGAGACAUUUUAAAAAUAGAUCUUAGAGGAUAGGGGGGAAUGCCACCCCUUUCACACACACCCCAGAUCUUUGGAUGUUGCAAAGCUUUUGUUAAUGGCAUCGAGUGGAAAGAGAUUGCGAAAAAUUAAAGAGUGUUUCCCAAAGAGUUGUGGGUGGAGGGCGCGCUGGGUGGGGAGGGGAGAUGGGACGCAGCAGGCAAGGAGGAGGGGGAGGGCUGGCUUCCCUUUGGAGAAGGGGAGGUUGGGAAAGGUGUAGAGGUCUCCCUACCUGCUCUGAAAUCCAUUUGGUAAAGCCAAAGCUACACUCAGGACUUGCAGCCCUUCAAGGGAGAAAAGGAAGCCGCGUGCAGUGGUUUAGUCAUCAGCAGGUGACUAACCCUGCUAAGCAUUUCACCAGGCGACAGACACCAGAAUGGGAUGGAUGGGGAUGAAGCGAUAGAAGGACAAACAGAGCAAGGGCUGAAGAACAAACGUUGAAAGCUAGAAGCAAUCCCUUCCUCAGGCACAGACUGACUGAAUUGGGGUCUUUUUGCUUUUACGAAAAGGAACUGCUUCCCAGUUCCAGUCAAACAGACCCUGCCACGAUUGCAGCCCUGAGACAGAGCAAGAGAAGCUCACUGGAUUAGCUUAAUAAAAUAUCUUCUCAUCCCAAUAAAGCUACUGAUACUGA
This is a long non-coding RNA of Chrysemys picta bellii (western painted turtle), 798 nucleotides long. RefSeq lists it as uncharacterized. The record is from RefSeq and is a predicted model, not a curated record. NCBI's taxonomy places the organism in Eukaryota, Metazoa, Chordata, Testudines, Emydidae.